UACGGGGGGGGCAAGCGUUGUUCGGAAUUACUGGGCGUAAAGGGCUCGUAGGUGGCCAACUAAGUCAGACGUGAAAUCCCUCGGCUUAACCGGGGAACUGCGUCUGAUACUGGAUGGCUGGAGAUUGGGAGAGGGAUGCGGAAUUCCAGGUGUAGCGGUGAAAUGCGUAGAUAUCUGGAGGAACACCGGUGGCGAAGGCGGCGUCCUGGACCAACACUGACGCUGAGGAGCGAAAGCCAGGGGAGCAAACGGG
RNAcentral lists this ribosomal RNA (253 nucleotides) under uncultured bacterium. RNAcentral's name for it is "partial 16S ribosomal RNA". It matches the Rfam family "Bacterial small subunit ribosomal RNA", at positions 524 to 776 of the family's 1533-position model. The record is from RNAcentral.